RNAcentral lists this long non-coding RNA (37121 nucleotides) under Malus domestica (apple). Its description in RNAcentral is "long non-coding RNA (MDOM_LNC017235)". The record is from RNAcentral. Lineage: Eukaryota; Viridiplantae; Streptophyta; Magnoliopsida; Rosales; Rosaceae.
GAGAAUACGAUACACAGUGUUGAGCAAUUGAUAAUCCUCUGAAGGUUGCUUACGGCUUGAAUCAUUCCACUUUCCUUUCUUAUAGUUGUUGUUACCCCCUCUUCUUUUAAACUGGAUAUUACGGCAUUUCUUGAAAAAGUUUCGAUUGUUCCCAUCCAUCAUACCCCUCAAUACUAAAAACUAAUAACUGAAGGGAACUGAAUUUUAAGGAAACCUUAAUUCCUGGAUUAAAAAAAACAAUAACAAAAGUCGCCAUUACUGCGAAAGAGCCUAAUGCCAUCCUAAUUUUCUCGAGCAAUGAAACUGGGCUCAUCAUUUACAAUUUCGAACUGAACACUAAGUUAAGCAAAAGCUAUUGAAUUCAGGGAUUGCCAAUACAAAAGUUCAACUAUACAUUGUAAAGCUUGUAGUUAAAAAACGUACUUUGAUCUAGUAAAGUAUUUCCAACGAGCUAGCGGCCGUAAUUCGUGAGCGUUAGGCUUCGACCCAUCGCCCUAGGGUUCCAAAAACCAAACAUAUUCAUACAAUAUCAAAUUCAAGCAUUUCCUUUUCUGGGAACUAACCAAAACAAUAAUGCAAGACAAAAGUUCGAAUCUUUAGUUAAUUAACGACAGGAAACAAUAAAUUAGAUGGAGGGUGAUCGGAGAAAUGAGAAGAACAUAGCACAGGCCAGUCAGUAAAACUGUAAGAUUAUCGUUUGUGGGAAAGUUAAUGAAUGGUUUUUACCUUUUUACGUACCAGAGCGCGCGCGCGCGAUGAAUCGAGGUAAUGGAGCUUGGAGUCUUGGACUUGCAGAGUUUUGCCUGUAUUUUUUUUCGGUGGAAAAGGAGGUGGCCUUCGACCGAUUUCGAAUUCGUAGGAAAGGCUAAGGCCAUCUCUAACGACCGAAGAUUGGUAAGAAGAUUCGUUUUAACUCUUUGGUUUUUCAAGAUAUUAAUAUUUUAAUAAAUAGUACUUGAUUAUAUUUGCCUCUGUCUUCAACAGAGGGCCAAAGGGUCAUAGGGCUUGUUUUAGCUCUGUCACAAAAAAUCGUCUCCAACCUAGAGUCAAAUGGGCAAACAUAAUUUAUUAUUUAAAUUUAAAAACUACAACGGUAACUAACUAAAAAAACUGAAAAAAUUAGAACUAAAAUUUAAUGAAUGGUUUAGGUAUUUAUAGGAAAAAAUUUUGAAUUUUUAAGAUUUUUUUUAAAGGCCCAAAAAACCAAAAAAAAAUAAUUUUUGAAUACAAUAGCUAGUCAGCUAGCUGUUGGAUUCAAAUAAUCGACAGGAAUACUCAUCACUCUGGCCCAGCCCUGGUUGGCUGGCUGACUGCUUGUGGCCAGCCCUUUGACCCUUUUAGAUUCUGUGGAGCCCACGAGCCCUCUGGCUUAGCCCUCAGUUAAAGACAGUUUUCGGACUAUUUUUGGCCCUCUGGCCCUCUGGAUCCUUCGGUUGGAGAUGGCCUAACUUAACUUCGACCCGUUUCAAAUUGGACACGUCACAAAAGGUCCUGGACCAAUUUGAAAAAAUUCCCAAAAUAUUGGAAGACCCUUCGUGGAUUUAGAUUUUGCAAUAUACUCAGAAUAUAAAUCGGUACAUUACGUGUCGUAAUACAAGGAGAGAAAUGCGAAAAAUGUAUAUUUAUCCAGUAUUCACUUAUAUUAUAACACGUAAUGUACUAACUUGUAUUCCAAAUAGAUAAAAACAAAUCUCCCUUUACGGGUGUUAAUUCCAGCAUCCAAUGGAGUUGAUCCUUGAGGGAUAACUAAAGAUUUCAUUGUUUGAAACUUUAAAAUAAGGGAUAAAAUUUAGUGAGUCCAUUCAAAUAGGAGUAAACUGUGGUUUUACUCCAUCAAUUAUUUCUUCAUCGACUUCUACAAGUUAGGUUAUUAUUCUUACAAAGACAACACCAAACUAGAUUUCUUCUCGCUCAGGAAAGCCCCAAGAGCAUUUAGCACUUAACUAGUUUGGUAUUUUUCAUUGUUCCUGUGAACACGGAAAAUUCCUGAAACGAAAGAGACAAGAACAACGUGCACAAACAAAUAUUUGUAUUUUUGAUGAUUUUGGGUUACAAUCUCUCUCUAUUUUGAUCCUCUGAUUCGAUCUCCGUAAGGUGUUGAUUUGUGGGAUGUGCAAUUGAUCCAAGGGCCGUUGAGGCUUGAUCUUGGAUGAACGAGGAUGAACGGAUCUUCAAGGGCUUUUGGGCUUGAUCUUGAAGAAUGGUGAUUGACGGAUCUUCAAGGGCUUUUAGGCUUGAUCUCGAAGAACAGUGAUGAACGGAUUUCCGAUGGCUUUUGGGCUUGAACUCGAAGAACAGUGACGAACGGAUCUUCGAGAGCUUUUGAGCUUGAACGGAUCUUCGAGGGCUUUUGGGCUUGAUCUCGAAGAACAGUGAUGAACGAUGAACGCUUUCUUCAAGGGCCGUCGGGGCUUGGGCUUGAUGAACAGCGGAUGAGUGGAUUUGUUGGUGUUGUCGAUCCAAAGGGGCCGUUGGGGCUUGAUCCUUGAGGAUGAACAGUUGAUGAACGAUGAACGCUUUCUUCAAGGGGCCGUUGAGGCUUGGGCUUGAAGGUGGAUGAUUGUUGAUCCAAGGGCCGUCGGGCUUGAUCUUGGAAGAACGAUGAACGAAGAACGCUUUCUUGAUUCUUCGGGAACCUGGAUGCUUGAGAGCUUCGGAGUUUCAGAGCUUCAGAGCUUCAAGAGUUUUGCCUAAUGAUUUUUGGUUCUUCAAAUGAAUGAAAUGGGCUUGUAUUUAUAGAAUUUUCCAAGGCCUAAUUUUGAAUAUAAUAUCCCAGAUGAAAUAAGUCGUUUCUGCCAGGUGUUGACACGUGUCUUAUUUGAUGACUUUUCCAACUCAUUUCAAUUUUCGUUGAGUCACAUGCUACGUGUAAAAUUUAUGCAAUACAUGAGCGUUGACACUUUGAUUUAUCGGUCAACAUUUAUUUACCGAAAUUUCGAUGUCUACAAAUGCCCCCACUUCAAGGCACGUCGUAUACAUGUGCUUGUCACGUGUAGGAGAUGCGUUUUGAAGUCCCUUACUGUAGAUGUCGAUCCAAGGGCCGUCGAGGCUUGAUCUUGAAUUGGGCUGGAGAUUUCUUCAAGGGCCGUUGAUGCUGAUCUUGAAUUGGGCUUGAGAUUUCUUCAAGGGCCGUUGAGGCUUGAUCUUGAAUUGUUGUUUGAAAUUUCUUCAAGGGCCGUCGAGGCUUGAUCUUGAAUUGUUGUUUGAAAUUUCUUCAAGGCCGUCGAGGCUUGAUCUUGAAGGUUGAAAUUGGACCACAAGGAGCUUCAUGUGGUAGAUGAUCUUUGGCUUUGGUAGUGGGUGAAUCCACACGUAUUUUGUUGCGAUUUGUUGACUUUCCACAGCUUUGAUCUUGAACUGGGUUGAAGGAUUUUCUAGAUUCCUCCAAUUGUUGAUUUUCCACAGCUUAUUCUUGAACUAGGUUUUGAUUCAAGGGUGGUAGACACUUAAUCUUGAAUCGGACUUGUGAUUUCUUCCAGGGCCGUCGAGGCUUGAUUUCGAAUUUGGCUGGAAGCUUCUUCAAUGGCUUUUGGGGCUUGAUCCUUGAAGGUUGACUUGAACACAUGACAAGCAGGCACGAGGUGAAGGUGACGACUUGUUGCUCUGUUCAAUCUUUCUAAUUCACACCUGAGCAGUUUGGUCAACGGUAUGAUCUUCAAGAUUGAUGGGCUUUUCUUCCAGUUGGUGACUUGAUCUUUAAGGAUUCGAUUCAAGGGUGGUGAAUCGGCACGUGCAGCCCACAACGCCUAGUAAGUCGACCCAAGAAUUUGAGGGUCAAAACGAGUUCACCGUCCUCAGGCAAAUGCGGCAUCUUCUCGAGUUCUUCAUCUCAGACUCUUUCUGCUGAGUUAACUGUGCAUGCUGCAUUCUUCUCUGCUUGUUUCUUCAGCACGUUGUCUCCACAUGCUGCAAGGUAUCAUUUUCACUUGCCUUAUCUAUUCUUCAGGCAGAUGUGGUAGCUUCUUUGGAAGUACAGCAGCAGUGGGAGACGAGUACUCGAGAGCAGUGCUAGGUAGGCAAUCAGGGAAGGGUUCCAAGCAGUCGGUUCCUUACCCGAGUUUGAGUGGAAGUUCCGGCAUAUUGUUUUCUUUAUCCUUGUCUUUGUAGGUAAAAACAAGGACAAAGGAAAGGACAGGAAGAACGCAUGAUAUGAGAUACUCUUGCUUUCUACCCUGGUGAUAUGAGAUACUUUUGCUUUGGAGUCAUUGGCUUGCAGAGGUACCCCAAGGAAUAAAGAACAUUGAAUGACUCGAGAGGCUUCGUUGGGAAAGCAUUUUUGGAGAUGAAGAAAAGCUCUGUGUGUCUGCCUUGCUAUGGAAGGUGAAGGUGGACAGUUAUAGGAGGUCUCUUAAUACCUGUAGAGGUAGUAUUCUUUCACUUGUGUCGGCAACUAACGCGUGAUUGAACAGUAAACUUUCACGUGCUUUCUCCUUCACAGAAAAUCUUCGACAAAUUGCCCGUGAUUUGCGCAAAGUUGAGUGUGCAUAUGACAGGUGAUGACGCGGCCGAAAAAGACUAGCGCCUCUUCGAUAACUGGGAUCGGCGCUUCGACAAAUUACCCGUGAUUUCCGCAAAGCUGAGUUUGCGUGUGAUGGGUGCUGACGUGGCUGAAAAAGACUGGCGCCUCUUCGAUAUCUGGGAUCGGCGCUUCGACAAAUUGCCCGUGAUUUUCGCAAAGCUGAGUUUGCGUGUGACGGGUGCCGACGCGUCUGGAAAAGCAAGAUGCUUCUCCGAUUUCUGAGCUUGCCUCUUCGAUUUUUGAAUGGCCUCUUCGAAUUUUGAGCUCGCCUCUUCGAUCUCUGAAAUCCCGUCGAGUGCUGAUUUUUUUAUAGAGGCAUGCAGUUCGUUUCAAAGCACACUUGAAUUUUCGCUUGUGAAAACUCCCCUCUUGUACUUCUAAGAUCUUGAUUUGUCCGAUCUCUUCUUCCUUCAACACUUUGAAAAUGUCUGGACCAUCUGACCGUCGUUUUGACUUGAAUCUUGGUGAAGAGGCAGUCCCGCCUUCUCCAGACAACAUAUGGCGCCCAACCUUCAUAUCCCCCACUGGUCCUCUUACCGUUGGGGAUUCGGUGAUGAAGAAUGAUAUGACCGCUGCGGUGGUGGCCCGGAACCUUGUCACUCCCAAAGAUAACAGACUACUUUCCAGGCGGUCUGAUGAGUUGGCUGUUAAGGAGUCUCUGGCCCUUAGUGUGCAGUGUGCGGGUUCUGUGUCCAACAUGGCCCAACGCCUAUUUGCUCGAACCCGUCAAGUUGAAUCGUUGGCGGCUGAAGUGAUGAGUCUCAAACAGGAGAUUAGAGGGCUCAAGCAGGAGAAUAAACAGUUGCAUAAGCUCGCACAUAGCUAUGCGACAAACAUGAAGAGGAAGAUUGACCAGAUGCAGGAAUCUGAUGGUCAGAUUUUACUUGAUCAUCAGAGGUUUGUGGGUUUGUUCCAGCAGCAUUUACCUUCGUCUUCUGGGGCUGUACCGACUGCUGAGGCUUCAAACAGUCAACCUCCGGCGCCUUCUCUUCCUAGAGCUCUGCCGAGUUGUGAGGCGCCACCUGAUCGUCCUUGAAUAUCCCCUCUUGUAAAUUUGAUUUGAUUUGAUUUUUUUUUUUUUUUUUUUUUGGUAUGUAGAAGAAUGCAUUUUAUGUAAAUUUUUAAAAUGGUUUUUUUUUUUUUUUUUUUUUUUUUGCACAUGGUGCCAGAUGCCAUCCAUUUUUUUUUUAUUUUCCCCUGUUUUAUUUUUUUUGCACAUGGUGCCAGAGCACCACCAAUAUUCAAACAAUUUUUUUUCUUUAAUCAUGGUGACAGACGCACCAAAGAUCAAACUUUUUAUUUUUUUUAUUAUUAUUUUUUUUUUUCCUUUCUGCACAUGGUGCCCAUGCACCACCAGAAACUUUCGAUCUGUCAUGGGGGCUGUUCCCCAUCUUUGAUCCACCAUCCCAUUUUCUAUUUAUUAUUAUUUUUUUUAUAAAUUUCGAUGAUGGGCUGAGGAAUUUGCAGGGAAGGAUGAAGGCGCAUGGAGAGCACGAAGGUGACCUUGAUGUCGGAUCCAGCUAGAAUCCAGAGCACAGCCACUGAGCCCAACCACAGAGCACAGCCACCGUACACCCAUCGCACUGCCAGCAUCUUCACUGCACUACCAUCUAUACUGCCUGUUGAACUUGCUGCACUGCCUUGUCGUCCUUGCACUGUUUCCUUGCUGCACAGCAUCGCCGUCGCACCGUCGCAGCAUAGCCUUUGCCAUUGCACUGUCCACUGCAUCUCCACUGCACCAUCCCCAUUCCCAUUGCUUCUGCACCGCACACUGUUUUGCAUCUUCACUGCGCUGUUUCCUUGCUGCACAGCCUUGUCGUCCUCACUGCACAAAGCAUUGCACAAAACCGCACUGCCCUAUCUCGCUUGCUGCUGCACCACUGUACCUUUACUGCACCCCCACUGCCUUCCCCGCACUGCUGCUGCAUCACCACUGCAAGGGGAGAGACAGAUUGACAGCGCUUCCGAAGCUUCUUCGCCACCGUCAACAGCGCCAAUCUUCGCUCUCUUAGUUCGGCAAAAGCUUCAGGAUCAUUUGCGAGUCCAAUGACCGAGUCAUGAAGAUGGAAAGCAUGGAUCCUGCAGCACCAACCCAAGUCACAACUUCAAGCCGAGUCAGAGACACCAAUCUAAGUUACAACCUUCAAGUCCAGUGACUGAACUUGAAGAUGGAAAGCAUGGAUCCUGCAGCACCAACCCAAGUCACAACCUCAGUCUUGCACUUCUUCCUUCUUUCGACUAGCUGUGGGAGACCAACCGAGAGAAGCAGCAGCAGUGAUAACACCAGCUACAACAGCAGAAUUCCGGUACUUGUCAGUCGAUACCUUGGCAGUUGACGCUCCAGAGGAAGAGGCAUUUGGUUUGGCAUCAGAGACUGAGCCUCCUGAGCUUCCAGCUGAUAGAUCUGCUCGUUCAGAAAGCGGCAACUGUUAGUCGUUGAUCCUGAUCGUUGGGUGCGGUAAAAGCACCACCGUUCUGGGGCGUCGUCGAAGUCUCCGGGUUCCGAUUCGCCGAGUUCGACCCCACGCUCUUCCCAAGCUCCACCCCUUCAUUCUCAACCACUGCCAUAGCUCUUUCUCUCUCUCUCUCUUCCCUUUUCCGAAAAAAGAGUUCCUUUUCGGAUUGGAUUUGGGAUCCAACCUCUCUUCUCUGUUGUGAAGAUCGGGGGAGGUGUUGACGGGAUCCAUGCUGUGGACAAUGAGGGGACUUGAAGUAGAUGUUGAAGUAGAUGGUGAAGAUGCUGUUUAGCGGUAGUUUCUGUAGACGGGACUGUACAUGCAACUCUCGGCAUGCUUCACAAGAUUCUCAGGACGAGGGAGACGCGUAGCCACGCCAAGGUCAUAUGCCUUGGCAGCUACAUUAGCAGCUACUUGGGCAGAAAUCUUUUUCUGAUGUUCGACAAUGGUGGAUAGAUCAGCCCCUGUGCAAAAUUCUCCUCGAAAACUUGCCCCGCCAAGGCUUCCGAGGCUGCCAGAAGCAUGUCAUCGUGAACACGGAUUGCUCCAGAGAUAACCAAACCCAGACCAAAUCCAGGAAAAAUGUAUGCAUUGUUGGACUGGCCAGGAACAAAAACUUUGUCCUUGUACUCAACAGGAUCAAAUGGGCUUCCGCUGGCAAAAAUUGCGCGCGACCCACACUGUAAGUAUAAGCUUCUUCAGCGGUACAUUCAGAUUGUGAUGUUGGGUUGGAAAGAGCCAAAAUGAGAGGUUUCUCAUUGAAGGACGAUACUGCUUCAAUCACCUCCUUUGUAAAUGUUCUUCCAACACCAGAUGAUCCAAUAAGAACUGUUGGUUUAAUUGCCUUGACCGCAUCCAAAAGAUUAUCAACAGGCUCAUGCUCAUGAGCCCAAGGCUGCGUAAAAUGUUGAAGAGAAUCUUUACGAGAGAUAACAAUCAAUCCUUUUGAAUCAACAAGUCAGAUCUUCUUACGGGUUUCUCCCACAGGAACUUUUGUCCUUUUCGAGAUCUCAAGAGCUAUUAGUUCUGCUAUACCGGUACCAGCUUCUCCAGCGCCAAGGAACAAAAACCUAUGCUCAGACAGGGAACCACCGAUUAACUUCAGUGCUGCCACAACUCCUGCAAGAACUACAGAUGCCGUCCCCUGUAUGUCAUCAUUGAAGACGAGAUGAGAUGCUCUAUAUUUGGCCAGCAGCUCGAAAGCAUUGUGGUUUGCAAAAUCUUCGAACUGUACAAUAACUUUUUUCACCAUAGUUCUGCUUGGGACUUCUUCAACCUUUUGCAGUUUUUGGCGAGCGACGUCAUCCCAGCAUCGGUCAACUCACGGCAUGCGCGGAUCUUCAGGCGCGUGAGGUUACGGCAUCGCAGAAAUGAGGACGAGCGCCUCGUCGCCGACGCUGACGGAUCUGCGGUCGCAUUUGAGGGCGAGCUUGGUGACGGCGCGGUGGAGCGAAUUGAUGGCGGUGAGCCGAGCGGAGUCAUCGUCGUCGGAGUUAGAGGAUGGGACGGAGGCGGAGGCGGAGGCGGAAUCGUCCUUGGGGAUGGCGACGGAGAGAAACGCCGCGAGUUGCUGCUGUUGGUGAUGGAGUCCUUGCAUCGUUAUCUUGCUGCUGACGCUGCUUCUGCACUAGAAGCAUCUCUCAUUCUCUCACUCAACUGAGUCGGCUCUGGAACUCUGACUCGGGUUUUCUGAUUGGUUUAUCCGCAGCUGCGGUUGCUCUGCGCUGUCUCUGUGUCUCUGGACUCAACCUGAUCCGUCUUCUGCAGGUGGUGGGACUGGGCCUGUGAAUUGAGCUUUCUGCUGCUGGGCCGAGACACAAGUGAGGAUGGGCCUGUCAUUCUGGCUGCUCUUUUCUGUGGACUUCAACUUGUGUUUAUUUGAUUUGGCACGGGUCUUAAGUGUAGGAAGACCCACAUUAAUAUGUAUACAUUUUUUUUAUUUUUUAUUUUUAUUAAUACAUAAAACAUAUGUAUUUUUUUUUCUCUUUUUUUUUAAAUACAUAAAACAUGUAUCUUUUUUUUUUUUUUUUUUUUUUUUUUUUUUUUUUUUUUUUUUUGCAUUUGUAAAAACAUAAUAACAUAUGUAUUCAUUUUUUUUCUUUUUUUUUAAAAUAAAAUUGACUUUAUUUAAUAAAACAUUUUUUUUUUUGAUGUGACUGAACUCGAAAUUUUGAAUAUUCAAGCUGCCUACGUACCCCUCCAAAGAAGAGAUCAAGUCGUAACGUAGUUCAAAUACAUAUUUUUUUGGAUUUUUUUUUUUGUGCCGUUUGCAGUUUCAGCUCAUGCAGGCAAGGAGUGUUGGUGUCGUUUGCAGUUUCAACUCAUGCAGACAAUGAGCAUUUGGUGCCGUGUUGCAGUUUUCAAGGAGCGUUUUUGCCUCAUGGUCGUGCAGACCAGGAGCUUUGGUGUUGCCUUUUAUGCUCGUGCAGACCAUGAGCGUUGUGCCAUGCAGUUUAGGCUCAUGCAGGCGAGGAGCUUCGUGUCCUACAGUUUAGGCUCGUGCGGACAAGGAGCUUUGGUUCAUGCAGUUUAGGCUCGUGCGAACAAGGAGCACUGUGAAUUUGUCAAACGAUCCGGGAUAGUUGUUCCUCGCAAUUUUCAUAGCAAGGAGUCUUGACCGAGUGAUUGAAGAAGUCUUCAGGAAAGAAAUCACGCAUCGUGAUGGGGAUGGAUGAUCUAUGUGUUGCAAUUUCAUCAUCUUCAACACGUUCACGUUGCUUUGAAGAUUGACAAGAGCUGCUUUGCCCCCUUUCUGAUUGGCGGACUUGUGGAGGAGACGUAUGUUUCUUGUGCAAUUUCUUAGGAGUGACUUGAGUCAAUCCUUCAACUUUGCUUGUCUUGGAGGAUGCCCCCAGCGGUUGAGGUGAAAACUUUGAGUCGGAAGGGCCAGAAGUGAAGGUGGUAUAGUUUGACUUCGCCACUUCGUCAAGAUCUAGCUCGAUGAUUCCUUUCUGAGCCAGCUUUAUGAUGAGAUCUUUCAGCACGAAACAUUUUUCUGUCGGAUGACUGAUGAAGCGGUGGAAUUUACAGUAUCUUGGACUGUCGGUACGAUUCAUCUCUUCCGGCCGUCUGCACUCAGGCAAACUGAUCACCUUCUUGUCCAACAGGUCAUCUAGCAUGGCAACCACAUCAGAGUCGGGGAAUGGAUUAAGUCUUCUCCUCAAGCUCCUUCAAAGUGCGUCUACGUGUCUCUUGAUCACGAAAAGCUUCGGUUUGAAUCGCCUUGCCUCGUGUGGAUAUUUUGACGGGAGAUGUGUUUGACCGUCAUCGCUUCCUUGGUGGGUUUUCCAUGCAGCCUUUUCCACCUUUGUCCCAAGAACUUUGUCGUUCUUGUAGUCGGCGAUCGGUUCUUUCUUCCCAUGAUGGGCGAUGCUCAACUCCAUGUCAUGGGCGCGAGUGGCCAAUUCCUCGAAGGUCCGUGGUUUAAUGCCUUGAAAUGUAUUGAUGUAUUGCAAACCCCAUUGCAUGCCUUGGAUGCACAUCUCGAUUGAAGAGGUUUCUGAGAGCUUGUCUUUACAGUCGAGGCUUAGAGUGCGCCAUCUGUUGAUGUAGUCAAUGACUGGCUCGUCCUUCCACUGCUUUGUGCUCGUUAGUUCUAGCAUGCUCACAGUGCGGCGGGUGCUGUAGAAGCGGUUGAGGAAUUCCCUUUCCAACUGUUCCACAGCCAGCUGUUGAUGGACUCAGGCUCUAGGUCCGUGUACCACUCACUCAAAGGCGUUUUCCUUUCAGCGAGCGCACAAACUGCUUGGCUUGGCGAGGUAAUCUCCCUCCGUCCCCGCAUUGUUGCAAGUUUCGACGAAAUGUGCAAUGUGCUGCUUUUUUGGGUUUCCUUUUCCAUCAAACUGCAUGAACUUUGGUGGUUGAUAUCCCUCGGCAUCUUUAGGGCAUCAUCAAUCUUCUUGGAAUAGGGCUUCGAGUAGAACAAGGAGGUAUGUGAGCUCUCCCUUCGUACUGUGCCUUGAUGGUAUUGGUGAUCAUCUCCUGCAGCUGCUGGAUAGAAAGAGAUGCCAUGAGUGCCGCUGCUGCUUGGUCUGGCUCCGGCUUCGCAUCGUUUUUCUCCACCUGAGGCUCUUCUUCUUCAUCAUCUCUUCUCUUUAGUGGAUCAUUCUCUGGGUCUGGGUGGGUUUAUCGCCGUCCUGCGCCUCUAGUCGAUUGACGAGUGCUGGCAAUUUGCAAGUCUUUUCUCCACAGUUCGGGUUAGCCUUGCGAUUGCUUCAUUCAUCUGAGCCAGCUGCUCAUCGAUUGAAGUUGCUCCAAUGGUCAUGACUUGCAUGGCUGCACUGCCGCUUGAAUCGCAUCGGAGAGCAUGGAUAUUCGGAGUAUUUCCUUGGGCUUCCCCCUUUGGUGCCCUUAGUGAGGCUAAGGUGAUCAAAGGCUCGUGCCUUGGGUGCUUUUGUUCCCUUGGCAGAGUUGAUGCAGAGAGGUGAAGAGAGGCGGCAGAAGUAGCUCUUGCCAUGCUUUCGAGUCGUGAUGCCCAAAGUGACACCAGUUGCGACGAGGACGCUCUUGUUCUUUGCGCCGGUUGCGGGAACAGAUUGAGCCUUCCUUGAUGCCAUUAAUUUUGGAAGUGCGCUUGAAUUUCUUGAACGGAGAAAGAGAUGAGAGGCAGAGACAGUCCCACUGGGCGUGCCAAUUUGUGAACACGGAAAAUUCCUGAAACGAAAGAGACAAGAACAACGUGCACAAACAAAUAUUUGUAUUUUUGAUGAUUUUGGGUUACAAUCUCUCUCUAUUUUGAUCCUCUGAUUCGAUCUCCGUAAGGUGUUGAUUUGUGGGAUGUGCAAUUGAUCCAAGGGCCGUUGAGGCUUGAUCUUGGAUGAACGAGGAUGAACGGGAUCUUCAAGGGCUUUUGGGUUUUGGGCUUGAUCUUGAAGAAUGGUGAUUGACGGAUCUUCAAGGGCUUUUAGGCUUGAUCUCGAAGAACAGUGAUGAACGGAUUUCCGAUGGCUUUUGGGCUUGAACUCGAAGAACAGUGACGAACGGAUCUUCGAGAGCUUUUGAGCUUGAACGGAUCUUCGAGGGCUUUUGGGCUUGAUCUCGAAGAACAGUGAUGAACGAUGAAACGCUUUCUUCAAGGCCGUCGGGGGCUUGGGCUUGAUGAACAGCGGAUGAGUGGAUUUGGUUGGUGUUUGUCGAUCCAAAGGGGCCGUUGGGGGCUUGAUCCUUGAGGAUGAACAGUUGAUGAACGAUGAACGCUUUCUUCAAGGGGCCGUUGGGCUUGGGCUUGAAGGUGGAUGAUUGUUGAUCCAAGGGCCGUCGGGCUUGAUCUUGGAAGAACGAUGAACGAAGAACGCUUUCUUGAUUCUUCGGGAACCUGGAUGCUUGAGAGCUUCGGAGUUUCAGAGCUUCAGAGCUUCAAGAGUUUUGCCUAAUGAUUUUUGGUUCUUCAAAUGAAUGAAAUGGGCUUGUAUUUAUAGAAUUUUCCAAGGCCUAAUUUUGAAUAUAAUAUCCCAGAUGAAAUAAGUCGUUUCUGCCAGGUGUUGACACGUGUCUUAUUUGAUGACUUUUCCAACUCAUUUCAAUUUUCGUUGAGUCACAUGCUACGUGUAAAAUUUAUGCAAUACAUGAGCGUUGACACUUUGAUUUAUCGGUCAACAUUUAUUUACCGAAAUUUCGAUGUCUACAGUUCCUACAUAAAACAAUGCAACGUCUGAAUGUUUUUCAGUCACGACCUGUGCAAGAAGAUACUUUGAUGGAAACAGUUUAUGAAUAUAGAUGCCCAUUGCCCCAUUCAAUCAUCCAAUUCAUCCCUAAAAUUCUGCCAAGGAUUUUGUCAACAAUGUCCUUAUCGUAUUUUCUUUUCAUAAAACAAGGCUUAAUCAGAUACAUGAUUUCUAUGGUAAUAGAGUAUUCGAAAGAUAGCUCAUAUAGUGAAGAAAAGAAAAGUAAUAAUUGAACCCUGGUGAUUAGAGAUAUAAAGGAUUAGGAUAGGCCCUUCCCCCGAGCCUUAAAACAAUAGGCCUUCCUUCCCAUUUUAGCUCACCGAUUCAUCCAGAACCAAUUUCAUGUAAUUUGGCUUUGUUUUUCUUACAACUUGAAUUGUUUGAGUCAUUUCAUUAAUUGGGUUUUUAUUGUUUCUUUGUUUUGGGUUUUAAUGAGUUCAGUUGGAAGAAUCCCCACCGAAUUAUGUUUGGGUUUUGAACUCAAAUUUCUCUUGCCCAAAAAUAAAUCAAAGAAAUAUAAACAGAAGAAAGCAUCAGAGAGACAAAAUUUGCAGUCAAAAUCGUUCUACACGCCUACAAAUCUGUGAGAGUUGAGAUGUGGGUUAUCAGUGGAGGCUGUUGAUGCACAAAAUCAGUGAGGACUUUAGUACAACAGAAAGUGUCAAGUUUGUGACCUUCGCUAGAUUGCUCCGGUCAUUAGUGUGGAUAAGUAUGUAAAUGGAUAGAUACAGGGAAGCAAGCACAAGAUGUACGUGGUUCAUCCAGAUUGGCUACGUCCACGGAGUAGAAGAGUUCUCAUUAAUUGUGAAGGGUUUACACAAGUACAUAGGUUCAAACUCUCCUUUAGUGAGUACUAGUGAAUGAUUUAGUACAAAUGACAUUGGAGAUUAUUGUGGGAGAAUGAUCUCCUUUUAUAGAAGAGAGUUUCUAGCUUUGUUCUGGCCUUGACAUGUGUCAUGCUGUGAUUGGCCUCUUGGUGUUGACACGUGUUGCGCUGUGAUUGGCCUCCUGGUUGGAGGGAAACUCUUAUGUGUCAUUGACGAUAUAACGUUGACUGAUGCUUGGUAGUUUCGGGAUUGAUCAAGUAUGGUACAAACAGAGGCGAAAUGAGAGUUCUCCAAUUUGCCAAUGUGAAAGAGAAAGACAUGGAAUGGGUUAACAAAUGAAAGGUGACUAAUUUAACUUUGCAUGUGAGACUCACGGGCAGCAUAUUAACGAUACUUAAAAUAAUUUUUAACUUGGGGUUAAAUUUCUAACAGUCCUCACCACAAGGGUUUAUUUCUUAAUUUGUUUACUACAGGGGAUAUUUUCCGAAUACUAUAUCAUUACGGGGACCAUUUAUCCGAUUUAGCUUGCCAAACAAAGAAAAAGCAAUUAACGUCAAACAUCAAUUGUGCUUCAAGUGAUAUGAAUUAUUUUUUUAUUUUUUUCAUACGUAUGGCAAAGUCUUGCAUUGUAUAUUAGUCUAGGUACCAUAGUGUAGGUAUAAUAUUUUCUUAUUAAGUGCAUUAGUUUAGGUAUAUUACAUGUUUAGAGGCAAUGGAUUAGUCUAGGUAUAAUAGUGUAGGUACAAUCACACUUCUGUAUAAUUUUCCCAAUGAUUGAAAUAUAAUAUGUUUUUACAUGGAUUGACAAAGAUGAAUAUAAAAUGGUUUAAAUUUGGAAGGAGGAUCAAAGUAGUUUAGUUGAUGCUCAAAUAUGCAAAGUUCAAUCUAUUUAAAAUAAUAAGAAAUCAAGCUAUAAAUUAUUAUAUAUCCUAAAACUCAGUUGAGUUUUAGCACCCUUCAAAAAUAGUAUAAGGGCGGAAAUACGCUUGAUUUGUUUGGAGUUUAGGUGCUGCUGAAUUGCUCUUGUACAAUUAAGUGUCAUUUUUGCCCCCACUAGAUGGGCUGUCUUCAGCUUUCCGAAAAGUCCUACGCCGUUCUCAUCAAAUUUCCACCUAGAUCAAACUGCUCUCUCAUUUUUCAUCUCUCUCUCAAAUUAUCUGUGCGAAAUCAGCGAGCCUGUUUUUGGUUGCUACAAAUUUAUUGCGUUCAAAAACCCUCAAUCGCUACCAAUUUAGUUCCUUUUUUGGAUUUAUCAGAAUCAAUUUUUUGAGUCAGAGGUCUACAGUUACUGGGUGAGUUUUUUUUACUUCUUUGGUAUCGUUGUUUUAAAGUUUUCUUGGUGGUUUUCGAUGUUCAGAUGCUUUUUGCAUAUGAAUUUUGGAUGGUUUUGUAUAUGAAUUUUGUUUUUAUAAUAUUAGGUAUUUUGUUUCUAUCCUUAGAUUUUAAUAUUUUUUGGGGUAAAAUAUUUAAUUACAUCAUGUUAUGGGUUUUUAUGGGUUCAAUUGGCAGUUCUGAUUUUCCUUUGGUUUUAAUCUUCUCUUGCUUCUCUCAGGUGUAUCUCUGGAAUUAUCCUUUGGUUUCCAUCACCAUCACCCAACCAAUCCAUCAUACUCAUCAUUACACCCCACUAAUUGCUCUCUCACUCUCUCCCACCCCUCAUUUACUCUCUCAUUACACUCAAAUUUUGGAUUUUUCAAGAAAGGCAGUCUGAUUUGGAGAAGACUUCUCAAGCGGUUAUAAUUUCAUGGUAGGUUGGUUUAAGGCAGUUCCAAAAUUUAGGAUCGUUUGGGAUAUUUUUAGUUUUUUUUUUCUAAUUCUUGAAAACCCAUGGUUAAGAGUAAAUUUAUUAUAUUUUAAUUUUUAUUGAAUUCAGGUAACCAUCGUCAGUUUUUCGGUUUGAUUUAAAGGAAUUUUUAGUUAGAAAAGCUAGGGCUUUGCAGUUAGUUCUUCGGGUUGUACCUCCGGGUGGUUUAAAUUUGUUUAAAUUUGAGUUUUUGUGAUUUGGGAUUUAUAAAUGGAUUGAAAUUUACGUUUUUUUUUAUUUCAAUUCCCACUCAGAAGUUUGUACUCCCUCAUCAUUAGAAUUGUUUCCUUCUGCUCUUCUUCUCGAAACAAGGUCACAGAUCCACAUGCCAUCAAGGUAUGUUGUUUAAUUAUAUAUUGUACAUGUAUUUAUUGUAUUGUGCAUGUGUGUGAAUGUGUUUUUCUCUGUUAAUCUGUAUUGGUUUUCUAUUCUGAUUUAGUUAAUCGGGUUUGUUUUUAUUUCAGUUGUUUGGUUCAUGCUAAAGUUAUUGAACGGUAGAACACCGGAACCAGUGAUCUUUCAAAAGGGUUGGUUCUUCUAUAUAUUUUUAUCCUUUUGGUCGUUUUGAAUGGACUUCCUGUAUUCUAAAUGAAGCUAAAUUGAAUAGUUGUUUUUGUAUAUUGUAUUUGCUUUGUUAAAUUAGUUCUUUUUUGUUGAAAAAUGUUAUUUAGUUUUGCAGAUCAAAGUUUUUCAGCAAGAAAAAUAUUUGGCAAAUUAAAUUUAGAUAUGAAUACUUACAUUUAUUUAGCAUUUUCCAUUCGUCUUUACUUUUAGUGCAUUGUGGUUGUAAAUGUCAUUUAGUGCAUUGUGGUCUUAAUUUAAUUGCGUGGUUGGUUUCAGGAUUUCUUGAGUCGAAUAACAGCUUGGGUGAUCAAAAGGUAAAAAAGUAGUUGGUCUCUGCUUGCAAGAUGACUUCUUUCUGUUGCCAAAAUUAGACUAACCGUAAUCAACCCAAUUAAGUCCAAAUUUUAAUGCUCGCAAGUGUACGAAUCUUUAAGUAUAGUAGGCAAGCACAAGAUCGUUCCAACUAAGAUUGAAAUAAUUUUAAUUAUCUAACUUAAUUUGUAUUGCACUUGAAUUGAAAUGGAAAAAUUAAUGAUUUGAGAAAGAACUUCGAAAUUGUAAAUGUAAACAAAAAUCAAAUGAGCUUAAAUAAAUGACAAGAACAACAAAGAAAUCAAAUUAUAAAUCAAUUUCGAAAAGCACUAGAGCAUCCGAUUCACCAUAACCAAUCCAACUCAAUUCCUAUAGUUAAUUAUUAAUGAGUAAUCAUCCAAAUUGACGGACUAGUUUCUCUAACUCAUAUAGUAUCCAUGGCAUCUAGAUUACUAUGUAUACUCAUAUGUGCUAAUAGUCUAUGGCAUCUAGAUUACUAAACACACACAAGUUCAUUAACGAUUUGAGAACUACUUAAGAGCCUGCAUGAAACCUAGUGUAUGGCAUCUACAUCAAGGAAUUCAUGGUACCAUUUGCAAGACGCUAAAACCGAAUUAACAACAUGCCAUCUGUGUUAACUCGCAUCAAAUACACUCAACUCAAAUAAAAGUGGUGGCCAAUCACCAAGAUUAAAAUCAAGCUCAUAAGCACAGCAAAAUGAUACUUAACUUGAAUAAAAAUUCAUAAAUAGUUAAACUGAGAAAUUAUGAAUUCAUAAUUAGGCUACAUCGUAGCCCUAGCGAAAAGAAAUUAGUUCCGGAACAUAAUUAGAAAAAUGAUUGAAUUCAUAAAAUUAAAAGAAAAAUAAGUUUAGAAAAGCCUGAAAAUCCCUUUGCUUGCCGCUGUCUUCUUCUCAUUUUCUUCUCUUGUUAUCUGCUUCCCUUUUUAAAAUUGAUCAGUUCUCUUUUUCUUCUUUUUGCUCUUCUGUUUUCAUUUCCCUUUUUCGUAACCGACAACGGCUUAAAAGCCCAUUUAUUGAAAACAUUAGAAGAAAAGAAACGGAAGAAACCUUUUAACUCCUUGCUAGACACUUCGUGUGUUUAGACACCUUGAUCAAAGCUUGAAAGACUAGAACGCCUAAAUCACACUCAAGUUGGUCUACUUGCUGCAACGAGGCCUCCACAUUGUCCUUUUCUACCCUGCUAGAUUCCAGCUGGAAAUUUCAUCUCCAAAGUGAUAUAUCAACCAAAUUUGAAAGUACCCAAAUCUCCAUUGCAAUUGAUGAGAAUUAAAGAUAAAAAAUGCCCAAUUCAUGCUUCCACCGCAAAUCAACAAACUGGAGAGUGGAAUAGAAAUAUGGAUUUUCAUUCUUCUUCAAUUUUGAUAAGCUGCAGUGCGCCGGCUUGCUCCUGGAAAUUGGGAGAGAAAAACAACCCUUUUCUUCUGUCGGUGCAAAUAUGAGGAUAAAAGCAUUUGUUUUGUUGAAGCGGUCACGUGAUUGUCAUCCUUUUAGUGUGCAAUAAGGAACCUGCUUAAAAAUUGAUUAAUAGGAAAUGAGUCUUCAGGGGGACCCAACUGGGAUAAGUCAAAGUAGACUAAUAAAUGGUAAAUACAAAUAGUCGUCUAAACACCAUUUUACCAAACAUAAUUAAACACCACCAGACUAAAAUGAAAAUCAUAGAAACAUAGCAUAAUUUUCCAUAUCAUUAAUCUAAUCUUAAAAACACCAAAACAUGUCAUUUCUUUCAUUUAAAUCCGAAAUUGUAGUUUUCAGAGUACAAUAAAUGAUAAAAUAUGCGCUCAUCACUUUCCAUGCACGUCCUCCCUCUAAGUCAACUGAGGAUUCAAAUCCAGCGGAUCCAGCUCGAGAUAUAGAUAGCACAAUUCCAACUCUUAAAAAGGUAUAAUUUGUUAAUUUUUUAGUGAUGUGUUUUUAAUGGAAUUGAAGAUUUGGGUAGUGAGUUUUUACAAUGGUGUUAAUUUUUUUAACAAUUUAUAAUGCUAUUUGUAAAAUUUAGUCAGGUUUUUUUUAACAACUAUAAUAUCGUUUGAUUUCAAUUUGUAAUUACUUCUUUUGAUACAUUUAAGCUUAGUUAUGUUAGUAAAUCUUUAUAUCUUAUGUCCAAAUACAUGUACAAUAUAGUAUUUGAUACAUAUGCAGUAGUGUAUAUGUAAAGUUUUUAUAUUGUUGCUGACCAUUUUCAAUGUAAGCAUUUUGUAUGUAGAGUGUGAAAAAUGCCUUCUUCACAAAGGCAAAAUAGAGAACAGAUUCUACUUCAUAUGAAAAUAAGAGGUUAGUUUGAUUGUCAUUGCUUUUUUUUUAUAUGGUUAAAUUCUAAGUUACUUGGCUUACGUGUAAUUUAAUCGCUUGCUUGCCCAAGUUGAAGUCAUUCGUUUUAUUAAUGCUAGUGACCAAAAUCAACCUGAGUUAAUGUUAUAACAAUAUCAUAAUUUUCAUUAGUCUUUGAUUGCCUUAACCCUUUUCUUUUCCGUCUUUACCAAAAUUUCAUGAAAUUUUUGCACAAUUUUUUUUUAUAGAAAUUAAGUUUAUUCACUAUUUUACUGUCUCUUGGUAGAUUUUUUUUUAUUUGUUGUUCAAAAUUAGUAUUGCAAAUUUUAAGUGGUCGAACAUACCCUUUUCAGAUUAGCAUCUAAUAUCUUCUUUAACACAAUUUUUUAUAUUAUAUUAUCAAAAGAUCGUUGUUUUGUAAUUUCAGAACAAUGUGUUGAUGGAACACAAAAAGGAGGAGUCCUUCAACAUGGAACAUGAAGAUGUAAUUAAAGUUUCUACAUAAGCUACUAUAUACUUAAUUAACAAUGACAAUGAUGAAUCUCUUCGCAUUGCAAAGCUCAUCCUCUCCAUUAGCAAUCCUAGACAGUUCGAGGUAACAUCCUCAAUCCAUUUAAUCAAUUUUAUUUGUUUGAGCUAUUAAUUAUCGCACAAACCCAAUUAAAUUUUAAUACAAAAAUUUGAAUUUUGUCUUAAUUUUAAUAGUUGGAGUUAGUAAUAUAUAUCAUUGAUUUAACAUUGUACAGCUAUUCUUCCAUGCUGGUUCCGCAAAUCCAUGUACUCCGACACCUAUAUGUUAGUUAUUGUAAAUAUCUUUGUAAAUAUAUUUCCACUUGAAUAUAAAUAGUGUUGUAUAUUGUACGUAUUUAGAACUCUCUGCAUGUUUUAGUUUUAAAACCCACAGCAACGCGCGGGCACCAUUGCUAGUGAGAUUCUAAAAGUACAAUUUACUUGCAUUUAGUACUAUAGUCUAGUGGUAUUUCUAUUCACUUGUAAGUGAGAGAUCUUAAGUUCGAUUCCAGUCAAAUGCGAAUUUGAACCAUAUUAUUGCUAGCCCGUUGUGAGGUUAAACCAACCCCCUCCUCUUAGUGUAGAUAAUAUCGUUUGUGAAAAAAAUAAAAUAAAAUAAGGUUUAGAUUACAUGCCAACAACAUUGCACAGGAAAUUAAAGAAAAGUAUAACGUUUAUUCUCAAUGAAAAUAACAAUGAUAUGAAUGCUAACAUAAAUACAGGGUUAAAAUACUAAACAUUCUUGAAGUUGGAGUUUAUUACCGAAUCCGGAACACAUACAUUAUACAUGCCUUAGGCCCAAAAACAUAAAGAGUGCAGAAAUCCUUUAUCAUUAUUCUUUAAACAAAUCCUAAAAACUUCCUCAAAAGUGACAGAAGCAAAUAUCAACGCAAAAUGAGUAAACAGUUUAAGACGAACUGAAAGACCAAUGUUUGCUUUUUUGUUUGAUCAAAAAUAUUCCAGCUCCGUAAGUAGAAAUGAAGAUCUCAACAAGAAGGGAAAAUUGCAUCCAUACAAAGGAGACAACCGGAACACUAGCAAGUAAAAUCAUUGGAUACACCAUCCACUUUUUUGCUUCCAGCAUAAGAAAAAGGGUUGAAGAAAACGCGAUCAUCAUGGCAACGAUAGAGGAGAAGAGGGUGAAAAGGCCUAUCAUCAUUUUUGUUGGUAGUGAUUUAAGAAAAUCAUUUUCAGCAUAACGCGAGUUAAGAAUUCCUAAAAAUGUCAGGACUGAAGUUGUGGAAGAAAAAAGUGAAAAGACAUCCGCAACUAUAAAGACCAUAAAUAUCCUUUUAUUUAGGAAGACUGGAAAGCCUGCUUUGCUCCCACCAGGAACUGAGAAUACUGCAAUAAACAUGAUUGUAACAAUAAGAGCAGCUACAACCGUACAAGAAGUUGCAGUUGCUUUCAUUGAUCUUUCACCUUCUUUUGCCAAUUCCUUGUGGUUCUUAGUAAAUAGAUCGCGGGCGGUCAUACCAUCUGGAUGGUUAACAACUUCAAGAAACUUGGAAGGUACAAUUUUCUCCACCUCCUGCAUUUCAGUGAAUAGAAGAAACUUAAAUUUUCUUUAAUUUAUUUUCUUCGAAGGCACUCAAAUCUAACCCCAAGUAAUUAAUACUUUCGUACUCUUACAAAUCCCUGAUGUAUGCCCUUUGACCUUGAAUGUAUAUGCUCAAAUCUAAUCCCAAAUAACCUAACAUUCUGAGUUUGUAACAGUAAUCAAAAUUUCAUUUUUGUGAUUUCAUUUUUAAUUUGGUUGUUUCCUAUUUGAGGUGCAAAUUGCUGUCACAAAUAAUCAAGUUUUAUUUGGUAUAGUUUCCAAAUAAUCAAAAGUAAUAUACCGAUUGACCACGUGGCUAGAACUUUAUACAGUAAAACCUAUUAAUUUAUAGACCUUGUGGAUUGCUUUGGUGAUAAACUCUUUAUUUUUUUUACUUAAAUCUAAACCCUCAUUCAUUUAGUCUAGCUUAAAAUAGUAAUAUUGUUUAUAAAAUUUUUGUUCCAAUUUCGGCCAAUUGUAGUCUAAACUUCGACCCCUAUUUCUUUCUUUCUUCAAAAAAGAUAAAAUGAAUCUAGCCAAAAAUAGACUCUUGCAGAAAAGAAUCAAAAUAAUAUGAUGUGCUCCUUUCGGCCAAUUGUAAAUAGAAAUUAUCUCCGUAGUCAUAAUUAGAUCUCAAACUCGCUAUCGAUGAGAAAAAAAAAAAUAUAUAUAUAUAUAUAGAGAGAGAGAGAGAGAGAGAGAGGAAGAAAUUCUAACCUUAAACCAUUGUAAUUCUCUUUGCAUUUGCAGUGCUGCACAUUGGAUAUGUUUAAGCUGUGCAGGUGGGGAUAACCUCGCUGCUGAAUGUAGUAAAGUAUUGUUGAACUUAUCUACUCUGGAUUCAGUACGAACAUUCAUGAUUUGGAUAAAUUCAUGAAAAAAGUUAUAGACUUUUUCUUGACGGCAUUCAAUGGAAAACUGAAACAUGCCCUUUGCAUUUUCGUCAUAUAUCCCUAAAGCUAGGAUAUUUGCUGUAAACAGCUGACGAAGAAACUCAUCAUUCCCAUAUUCAACAGCUUUGAAGAGUGCUGUUUGUACGGAACUUCCUUGCAUUUGUUUAAGGCUUACACCUUCUGUCAUUUUGCACAUGCCUUGUAAAACUUCAAGGGAUUGGACAUGGAUCUGUUUCAUUUUGUACAUGUGAUCGAUUCCUAGGUUGACAUAGAAAAAUAACUAAUCAUUAAGUUUCAAAAGUGUGACCAAAAGAAGUUCUAAGCGAUGACUGGAUAAAUGUUAAGAGUAAAAUUUGAAUGAAAAGAUUAACAAAGUGUUGACAAGAAGCAUUACCGAAAAGUUUCCGGAGAUUUGAGACAAGCCCUCGCGGUAAAGCCAUAACUACAUUGCAAAUACAAAAUGUUUUGCAUUAGCUAUUCAAAGAAUUUGUUAAUUAGGUAUGAUCUAUAACAAAGUAAAAGAUGCGCCUGAGGUCAUAACUCUCGUUUUACUAUAUAUGUGGAAAAAAAUGCGUAGUGCCAUUUUAUAUGGAUAUUGUAUACCUGAGCGAAUUAUGAGAUCCUUUUGAUCAUUAACCGGGUCAUUGGCUUGUUUUUGAACAUCUAUACGAACAUCACGGAUCUCAGAAGCAUGUCGUAUUUGUAUACCUAUAAAAAAAAUAAACACAUGCCUCUAGUCAAUAUAUAGAACAUUUUUUUAGUCGAGGGUCUGGACACAUUGAACAUUUUCUUUAAUAUUUAUGUCUGUGAAAAGAGAAGUUAAGGUGCAUACCCAAAAUAAAUGAUUAAUGGACACUGAUAACGACAGAAGUACACAUUAAAUUUUUUAACACUUAUUUUUAGACACUAAAAAAUAAACUCAAGAGGGAAAAUAACUUACACUAUAAUAUUUGAGCAAGACCUAAACUAGUGAAGAAAAGCAUAGUGUGGAUACAAAUUAAUCACGUCCAAUCAUAGUGUGUCAAGGGGAAUAUAAGCUCAAUUUGACGGAAUUACCUCCAAUAUCGUGAGAAACCACAAUCUCCACUCUAAGUGGGUUAAGCAGACCAACUCUCAAAGGACCGGCAAAUGCCCACAACUAUCAGGCCCUAACCCCCGAUUCUUGCCAAGCUAGCUAGCAAACAUUUUGUUUUUCUUCGAGGGACAUGGUUGUCGACCCCUUGCACCUCAACCCUAUAUAAAGUUGAGGUUCAAUCAUAAAAUUAACUGACAAUAUAGGGAGUAAUCCAACCCCUUAUAAGUCCUUGCAAGGUUUCUCUUUUCACCAAUGUGAGACUCUUUACCUUCACAUCAUCACACAGCCCCUUACGUGUGAUUAACUUUUGAACCAAAUACGUGGACAACACAAAUUGGGUGAUGUUGAGCACGUGUGACCAUUGAGCUUCAUAACCUACAAGUGUCUAAGCAGGCAAGGGAAGGGAGACUCGUUGACUAGCAUAAGCCCGCUACGGCCUAGUAGAUGAUUUAUGGACCUCUUCCACUAUAAAUAGUCAAGUCAUACAAGGAAACUGGUUUAUCACAAACUCUAUUUAGAAUUCUCUACUGAAUUUUAGUUUUUCUCAAAUACUCUUUGACUUAGACAUCGGAGACAGAAAUUUCCAUCCAGACAUAGAAUGCAUUUUAUUGUUUUAAUUUUUUCAUAUUAAGUAUAAUAUAUAUAUAUAUAUAUAUAUAUAUAUAUAUAUAUAUAUAUAUUUAGGUUUUAAGAUAAAUCAAAUUGCGGGAAUCGUGUGCAUGUCUCCUUGCAUGUAUAACAUAUAGGAAAUAUCUUAUCGAAAAACCGAACGACGCCCACCCAACUAGAGGGAAAGAGAAAUUAAUAAAGUAUAAAAUUCAUCAUAGAAUAAAAAAUGUAGUUACUAACGAUUAUAGAUCCAUUGUUGCCAGAAUCUGAGACGUGUUCCACUUAAAAAGAGAGAGGGCAUACAAGCCAAUUCCUCUAAAAGUGUUUUCCCAGUAGAGUUUGUGGCAAAGGCCAAGUUUGGACAACGCUGAAUUAGAUCCAAUGCAAUAUCUACAAUAGGGAAAAAAAAAAAGAAGAAUUAUAUACAUGGAAAAAAAGAAAGUAAUCAAUAUUUGUUAGGGAACAUGCUAUUUAAACACAUUCUCAAAUACAUGUGAGUUCUAUAAAUAAUGAAACGGUCCACCUUAGUUAUAGUGUGUCAGAAAAUCUGUGCGAAUAUUGUAUCUAAAACAUUUAUGUACCCAGUUCUUUGGAGCUAAAACAGUGGGAAAUAAGAUCAGCACCAGUCCGACAGUUAUCUUGGGUCGACGUCAAAGCUUCCAAUGGAGUAACUGAAUAGAGAUAGCGAGCCAAUCCCCAGUGGCCGCCAUGACAAGCCAUGAUCAGUGGGAUCAUAUUCUGGAGAUUGCAUGGUAUGCAAAGUAAUCUCUUGUUUUUUUCGAUUAUGCAUCUAGCCACUUCGAGUCCUAUUAGCGUAGCUAAAGCUAUAGCUGUGACACCAUUAGCGUCUUCUAUUUCCAAGUCUUCCUUUGUCAUCCACCCCACUACUUCUUUCGCCAUAUAUUCGUUUCCCAUUGAAACUGCCAUGUGAAGAGCUGUCAAGCCUGAUAAUGAACCUCUUUCUCUGAUUGCGUCGGGAUGCAUAGUAAGAUACUUCUUUGCAGAACUCCAGUCACCUUUUGCAACAGCAUCAAUCAAGGGUUGAUGGUGGGGGAAAUCGUUGAAGUCGCCAUUAGUUUUAGGGUUCUUUAGAUAUAAGUCCAUGCAACACUUAUUUCCUUGACAAAAACCCAUUUCAUUGUAAACAUCCAAUAAAACCCAAAUUUGAAGUAGACUGCCAGGUAAACAAAUAAAUACCUAUUAUUUUCAAACUAUUUACAAUUGUGCCACAACACUCUAAUUAUGUUAAUGAAUUUAAUUAUCCACCAUAAUUGUGAGAAAUAAGUGCCUUAUUAUUAUAAAAUUAUCUACUUUAUACUUCUCUUACCAUCAUAUAUUUCAUUUCUUUUAUUUGUUUGACAAUCAUUGUAGGUAAAUUAUUUUGCAUGUAUGUAUUAGACACAUUUUGUUAAAAUUAUAUAUAUGCAUACAAAUAAUUUAUCUAUAUUUUUAUGUAAAAUAAUAUGUAAUUAAUUAAUUUGAAUCAAUUGGCUACAAACAUUUAUUUAUUUUGUAGGUAAAUUAUUUUUCAUGUGAUAUUACAUAUGUACUAGCCACAUUUUGUUAUUUAUAUAGAGUGUGCAAUCAAUCGACAUUCUUUUAUUUUGUAGGUAAAUUAUUUUGCGUGUAGGUAAAUUGUUAUAUAUAUAUAUAUUUUUUUAUUUUUUUUUUUUGCAAAAUAUUGGUAUUUAAUUAAUUUUGAAUAAAAAUAUUUAUUUAUUUUGUAGGUAAAUUAUUUUGCAUAUAUGAUUACAUAAUUUACUAGGAACUUAUAUUGUUAUAUAUGUUGUGCAAAAUAAUUUACCUAUGUUACAUUUAAAAUAUUGAUAAUUUUGAAUACAUUAACUUUUUUAUAUUUGUAGGAUAUACUAAUUUACAUGUUAGCAUCAUGUGAAAACAACCAUAUAAGGAACAUUGGUAUCAUGUAAAUAUUUGAACAUUUAAUUGAAUGAAAUAAUGUACAAUAAAUGGAGUCAUGAUGGGUUUUAAUUAAAGAAAAUUGAGUUUCAAGGGGUGUAGUCAUAUUUUCAAUUAGUUUUAUAAUACUCUGUCAAGUAAUAUUAUUUAUUGUUUGUAAACUAAACGUCAAGAAUUUGGGGACAAAUCAUACAUAAUGUUGAAAUAAAAGAGAUCUGAUCAAAUACAAUUAAACAAAACAAUAGAGAUUCAUACAUGCUGCAGUAGAUAUCACAUAAUAUUACUACGUACGUACCCUCAUUCCGCGUCAGACCGGUAUUCAGCUCUUCAUGUGCCAUCAAAGGCACAUCCUCUGCAUCGAUCACUCACGGUGACUUUAUUAGAAGAAGAAAACUAAAUCUUAAUAGCUAUACUAUUGGAAUUUACUUGGAAAGGAGACAUGUAGUACGUGCGUACACAUACCUGUGUUUUCCAAGGCUUGAUCGGUCGGCUUCAACUUUUCAGCCAAAGUAUCCCAGGCGACUUUGGCCGAGCUAAUGCCCCGGAUAAUAAAAUGAGUAUCAUCUCCGCAACAAGUAUGGAUUGCAUGUAAAACCUUGGCGUUAUUCUUCCUCCAAACCAAAAAUUCCGCUUCACCAUCUUCUUGUCUAGGAGGUUCAGAGGUCUCUUCCACAACCUCCCAAAGAUCUUCAGCCAACAAGUAGGUUUUAAAGUGGAAACUCCAAUCUUCAUAAUUAUCAUGACUAAGAACCUUAAGAUUAGCAAUUACACUAGAAACAACUGUAGCUGCCAUGUUUAAUCUGCAAAUGUAAUCAAUUAUUUAAAGUGAUGUUAGGUCGAUUAAUUAAGAAAAUAAUGAAACAAAACAAUUCAGCUAACUCACCCUGGUCGAUCGAGUAGUGGCAAUCUGCAAAAAUAAGUAAGCUGCAGCUAUUAUCCAAUGAGCUUAAGUAAAUUCCCACUCUGUGCACAUAGAGUGACUACACUUCUGAUGUAUAUAUAGAUGUAUAGCAAAUGAGCGAUGAAAAAGGAUAAGAGUCCAGGUGGACGUCCAUGCCCGUCUUUGUCAACUGCAGAGACGGUGCAGCUGUUUCAUUCUAUCGCUAGUUUCAGCCAUACACUUCUUGUCUUCAAUAAUUAACGGGGAUAAUACUUGUCUUCAAUAAUUAUGUGGCCCAAUAAAAUUAUUCCACCUGUUUGAAACUCAAUCAAACACUUCUUAUUCUCCUAACCAAACACUCUGUCUUCCUCCUCAACCCUUCUUCCUCCAGCAACCCCUCACUCCGUUUCUUCUCCGGCGAACUAUUUUAAAAAAUUCCAACCCCAGCCCAUUCUACACAAAUCCGGAAAAUUCUAGCACCAAAGUCGGUGCAUCAUGCAGGCAUAUCAAUAUGCUAGAUAAUUCUAGCAUUAUCCUAUUAAGUCGGUGGGUGUGUAUGUAUAAUAAUAUGCUAGAAAAUUCUAGCAUCAUUAUUUAAGUCGGCAAGGUUAUUAUGCGUAGCAGUAUGUCGGUGCAGUGUGUGCAUGAACAUGCACUAGAAAGUGCUAGUGAAGUCGGCAAACAUGCCUGUGUGUGUGUGUAUUGCUAUGUAACCAACCAACCAAGUGAGAGUGAGAACUAAGAGUAGUCUUGUGAGGAGUGUGAGUGGUGUAGAAUUUAUCUCUAGAAAGUGAGUGAGUGUCAUUGUUUCUAAAGUGUCUUUGAGAGUUUUGAGUGAUGUAAUAUUUUGUGUGUGUAAUACAAGUAAUUUGUUUACUUGUGUUGUCUCUCCAACACUUGUGUUAGAGUUGUGUACUUUAAUUUUUUCCUCAACAAUUGGUAUCAGAGCAGUACGAUCAGGGACCGUCUCUAUUGAAGCUUUUGAGAAUCUUGAGAAGUUUAGUACUUCACAAGAUAAUUGGUUAAUCUUGUUCGGCUUAUCGAAGCUCUGCCGAUACGAUGGGAGACCUUCAAGUUGUUGGAGGAAUCAAAAAGUUGAACAACAAAAAUUACAACACAUGGGCGACGUGUAUGGAGUCUUACCUACAAGGCCAAGAUCUUUGGGAUGUCGUCGGCGGUAAUGAAGUUAUGCAGCCGGAAGAAGACACCUGCUGGAUUUUGCGAAAGUGGAAGAUCAAGGCAGGUAAGGCAAUGUUCGCCUUAAAAACAACGGUUGAAGAUGACAUAUCGGAGCACAUACGGAAGGCCAAGACACCAAAAGAAGCGUGGGACACCUUCGCCACACUCUUUUCAAAGAGGAACGACACAAGGCUGCAGCUUGUUGAGAACGAGCUAUUAUCGGUGGCCCAAGGGGAUAUGACGAUUGCCCAGUAUUUCCACAAGGUAAAGUCUAUUUGCCGUGAAAUUUCUGAAUUAGAUCCUAGUGCUGCCAUUGCAGAAUCCAGGAUAAAAAGAAUAAUUAUCCAUGGAUUGAGACCCAAAUAUCGGCUAACAAGUAGGUUUUUACCUGACAACUCCAAUUGUCAUAAUUUUUUACUUGUAGGAACAAUUUUAGCUAUCAUGUUCAAUCUGCCAUUUAUUCAACGAGAUUUCAUAUCCACCGAGCAUAUGUGAAUAAAAUAAAUAAAUAAAUAAAAAGCAAGAAAACAAAAUGAAACAAAGUCAGUCUGUCUAACAUCACUUGAGGAGGGCUAGUGUCGUAUUGGAAAUCAAGCACUCUUGUGACCUUCCUCACCUAUAGGUUUGAGGCUUCCCGUCCCUUUUUCCCCUAGAACCCCCCACCUAACUAUUGAAAAACAACGACACUACAUAUUGAAUUGGGGCAAUAAGAGAUGAGCUUUCUAAUUAGUAAAUUGGUAAUUCUCCUGCACGUUUGCACAUAGAUUAGUCAGAUGACUUCCUUUAAUUGCAACUGAAGGAAGCACUUAUCACAUUAAAGUCAUUAAUAUCUCCUUGAUAAAUAAUCGAGAACCCGAUACGCAAUCAAAUUCAAGUAUUUUGGAUUCUGGGAAGCUGCUAGAGUUGAUGUGUAAACACUUUUUGCAGAUUGCUUGAUUGUCAAUUUUAAUUCAAUCUUAUCGAAAAUCAUCCCAUUUUCUUUCAAAUUCUCAUAAUUAACUACAAAUCAACAUAUAAACGCUAACAUGGCCUCCAAGUUCAAUUGCUUAAUCUGGGCGUGAAUCUGUUAUUUUGUGCAGUGGAAAAAAUCAAACUUGAAUCGAGCUUCGCCACAGUGAAAUCGAGCUUCAAAAACUAUUGGGUGCUCUAGAUACGAGUCUAAUAUGGCUGGAUCGACUGGUUUUGAAUUUUCCAUUUAAAAUUUCCUACCCUAAUCAUCUAUUAAGCCUUAAAAAUAGAAAUUUGAAUUCUACAAAUCAAAUUGAGCAAUUUAAAAUGGAAGAUUUUUAAAGAAUUAAAUGAGAAUUAUAGACCAUAUAAAAAUUUGUACAAGCAAUCACAAAACCAAACAAAUAAUCUAAUAUCACUACUACAAUAUUAGCUUUAGGUGACGGAUGAUGGUGGCGGAUUUAGAAAAAUACUGUCGGAUAAAUUAUAUCCGACACAUUAUUUAAUUAGUCACGGAUAUUAUAAAAAUACUGUCGGUUAUAUCCGACAUAAUUUCCUGUCGGAUAAUUACUGGUGGAUGCUAGAAAACUACUGUCGGUUAUAUCCGACAUAAAUUCCUGGUGGAUAAUUACCGGCGAACAUUAUAAAACUCUUGUCGGUUAUAACCGACAAUAUUUUUGAAUUUUAAAAAAAAAAUGUUUUUGACAGAUUCUGGCGGUUUUUAAGUUACUUGUGGCAGUUUUUAAGUUAAUGGUGGCGGUUAUAACUGACAGAAAUUGAUUAUUUUAUUAUUUUAGUAUCUAGCGGUUAUUAAUUUAGUAUUUUGUCAGUUAUAACCGAUAGAAAUUCACUUUACGCCAAACGUUUUUCAAUUUGUUAUUCUUUCAGAUUUCGUUUUCUUCCUCAUCUUCAUUUUGCUCGUUUUCGCUUCAUCUUCAAUCUUUCUCUUCUCUUCCCCUCAAUUUGUAAGUUUUUCGAUUCUUUUGCUUCAUAUUUUAAAGUGUUAUAUUGUUUAAAAAUAAAUAAACAAAUGGUUUAAAUAUGUUUUUAUUUCAAAUUUGUUCAAUGCAUUCUUAUAGGAUCAAUGAGUGUAACUGUAAAAAAUCAUCAAAAUUGGAGCUAAAAUAACCGUUAAAUUGUGAUUUUUCGUUUAUAACCGUCGAAAACUUUUGUUCCUUUACGUAAUCCUGAAUGUUUAUUUUUUUGUAAUUUUUUACAUAUGCAAUCUCGGAGUGUGUAUAAAUAAAUUUUACGGUUGGAUCGUUGAAAAAAGUUUCGUAGAAUGCAUAUCACGUCAAAAUGGUAGAUUAAACAAACACUUAAAGAGUUAAUAUUAUACUUCCAUCAAGUAUAAAGUAAGAAUCCACUAGUGUAAAUAUUUUAAAUUGAAGAUCAAAUUUAUUCAUUGCAUUCUUAUAGGAUCGAGGAGUGUAGCUGUAAAAAAUCAUUAAAAUCGGAGCUAAAAUAACCGUUAAAUUGUGAUUUUUCGUUUAUAACCGUCGAAAACUUUUGUUCCAAUACGUAAUCUCUUAAUGUUAUUUUUUUACGAUUUUUUCCGUAUGCAAUCUCGAAAUGUGUACAAAUAAGUUUGAUGGUUGGAUCGUUGAAAAACGUUUCGUAAAAUGUGUCACAUCCCGGCCCGGGGCGUACCACUUCCCGGACCCAUUCCACCGCCGUAGCACGAUAUUGUCCCCUUUGGGCUUACCAUUCCCUCACGGUUUUGUUUUUGGGAACUCACGAGCAACUUCCCAGUGGGUCACCCAUCCUAGGAGUGCUCUGGCCUCCUUCUCGCUUAACUUCGGAGUUCCUACGGAACCCGAAGCCAGUGAGCUCACAAAAAGCCUCGUGCUAGGUAGGGAUGGGAAUAUACAUUUAAGGAUCACUCCCUUGGGCGAUGUGGGAUGUUACAAUCCACCUCCUUUAGGGGCCCGACGUCCUCGUCGGCACAAUUCCGGCCAGGGAUUGGCUCUGAUACCAUUUGUCACAUCCCGGCUCGGGGCGUACCACUUCCCGGGCCCGUUCCACCACCGUAGCACGAUAUUGUCCGUUUUGGGCUUACCAUUCCCUCACGGUUUUGUUUUUGGGAACUCACGAGUAACUUCCCAACGGGUCACCCAUCCUGGAAGUGCUCUGGCCUCCUUCUCGCUUAACUUCGGAGUUCUUACGGAACCCGAAACCAGUGAGCUCCCAAAAGGCCUCGUGCUAGGUAGAGAUGGGAAUAUACAUUUAAGGAUCACUCCCCUGGGCGAUGUGGGAUGUUACAGAAUGCAUAUCGCGUUAAAACGGUAGAUUAAACAAACACUUAGAGUUAAUAUUAUACUUCCAUUAAGUAUAAAAUAAGAGUUUGUGGUAUCCACUAGUGUAAAUAUUUUUAAUUGAAGAUCGAAUUCGUUCAUUGCAUUCUUAUAGGGUCGAGGAGUGCAGCUGUAAAAAAAAUCAUCAAAACUGGAGCUAAAAUAACCGUUAAAUUAUGAUUUUUCGUUUAUAACCGUUGAAAACUUUUGUUUCGUUACCUAAUCUUUGAAUUUUUUUUUUGGCGAUUUUUUACAUAUGCAAUCUUGUAAUAUCUACAAACAAGUUUGAUGGUUAGAUUAUGGAAAUUAGUUUCGUAGAAUGCAUAUCUUCGUUAAAUUUGCCUAAAUUUUGAAGUGGGAAAAGUAAUUUGUGCUAAAUUUUUAUUUAUGUUUUUCAGGUAUUGAUUAGACAAUAUUUAGUUUGUGUAAUGACAUUUUCAUUGUACAAUUAUCUUUUUGAUUAGACAAUAUUUAGUUUGUGUGAUGACUUUUUCUUUGUACAAUUAUCUUUUUGUUUCUUUAUCGCAUAUUUUACAUGGGUUAUUAUCUAUUAAACUAAACAAUUAUUUAUUUAAUUUUUAAAAACGUAUUUAAUUUAAAUACAUAUUAUUUAUUUAUUUAUUAAACCAAACAAUUAUUAUUUUAUUUUUUUAAAUCGAAUCAAAAUUUUGGAAGGGAAUUAAAAAAUUUGGGAGGAAAUUUUGGGCGGACCAUUUUGUUUCUGUCGGUUAAAACCGACAGUAACUAAAAUGUUUCUGUCGGUUUUUAUUUAAAAAAAUGUUUAUGUCGAUUUUAGCCGACAGUAAUGAAAAGAUUCCAAAAUAAAACCCUUUCCCCUUCCCCUUCCCCUUCCCCUCCCCCUUCCUUCAUUUCCCAUUUCUGCUCUUAUCCCCUCUUCUCUCUAACCUUGAGCCCAAAUCCAUGAGAGCUUUCUUCCUCUCUCUUCAUUUCUCUCUAUAAUCUUCAGCCUCAUAUGUCAUCCCUCCUCUCUUAUCUUCUCGGCCUGCAACCCAAAACCAAAACAACCCACACCCCCAUAUCUUAGACAUCUCCGUUUCGAGUUUCCUUUUUUAUUAGAAAAUAGACGAAACCCUCGUGCAUGUGUGCUUUCAGUGCAGGUUCAACAAUCAGCGGAGAGGGUGAAGAACACGAAUAAAGCGACUGCAAAAUUUCAAAUCUGCCUGAUACAAGCGGAAAAAUCGAGGUUCUAGAUCUGCAAGAAAAGGUAUAAGGCCUCCUUCCCCAAACUCGAGCUUGAUCUUGUGCAUACCAUAUUUGGAGUUUGCUUGCAAUAUCUUGGUUUGUGCAUGCAUGCAUAAAUCAAAUAUGUUGUUCAAUAUGCUCAUGAAUCUGUUCUUGUUUGCUUGCAUGUACCUACCAAUAUAUUCUCGAGCCAAGCAUGUGCAUAACUGAAUGAGUAUUCUGCCUUGAUGAGCUGUGUCCUUUGUGCUACUUAGAUCCCCAAAAAGUUGAAUGUGUGUAUUAGGAAUUUGAUGAAUGGAUCUAAGUGGCACAGAAGCUUCUCAGUUGCCCCCUCUGUGAGUAUUUCUGAACUGCCAAAUCCCAUUAAUGUAGAGGAAUGAAUGAUGAAUGUGCUGGGGUGAAUAAAUGUUAAUUGUAUGCCCGUAGUUGAGAUUAGGCAGAAUCAACUCCGAAUUGAAUACAAAACUCAGUUCUAUGGAAAAUGAAGCUCGAAAUUAUUACACAAUUGGUGGAAAAAAAAGUUUGAGAUGAAGUUUCACUUACUGGUAGAUGACUUUUGAAACAGGGUUGUCCAGACUGCAAAAGAAAUCCAUGGCUUUUGAAAGAGGGGAUGUUCCAAAUCUACCGUCUCUAUCCCUCUCCAAUGUUCUCCGUCUCUCACAUCAUCAUAUUGUACUUCUCCUUCCCCGAUACAUGAUUUUUUGGGUAGUGAAUCAGAAGGCAGGAGUUUCACGGCCAGUAAAUGUUCAUCUCCAUGAGUGUCUCCUUUCGAACGGGCAGAAUCUUUUGGCUCUCCAACUAAUAUGCGAGGAUCUCCUGUUCAACAUUGCAAGAGCCCAUUUUCACGUUCUUCUGUUUUCUGUACCAAUUUGGAUCAGUCUUCUUCAUCGAGCUCUGAAACCUCUUGGCAGCUUGGGAAAUUUCCAUUUCUUCCAAAUCCUCCAACAUACUGCCAGUCCAAUUCGAGCCGUUCUUGUGAUGCAGAAAAUGGUUUAAUUUUUUUUACUAUUAAUAUAUGUUCUGUUGGUUUUAUCCGACAGAAAAUGCUUUCAUUUAUUCUUAAUAAUAAAUUUUCUGUCGGUUUUAACCGAUAGAAAUAUUCUUUUAUUUAUUAUUAAUAUAUUCUCUGUCGGUUACAUCCUACAUAAUUUCUGUCGGUUUUAGAGUAUUUUCUUUCGGAAAAUUCAUUUCCUGACGUUGGCAAUUAUGUCACUUAUUAUAUCCGUCAUUGCAUCUAUUUUCUGUCGGAUUUUGCUUAAAAUCCGACAGUAAUAUACGUUUUUUGUCGGUUUUUGAACCGUCAGUUAUAGAUAAUUUUGUAGUAGUGUAUGUGGACACAAUUAUUUUUAUUUAUUGGGUGUGAUUAUCAUCCAUCUUCGAAUUCAUACAAACCCUUGAUUCUAUGUCACUAGUUAAUUACACAAAUUCUAAUUAAUGGUUAGGCAAAGAAACAACAGUCAGUACUGCUGCGCAUCGCUUGUUCAAUAUUCAAGAAGCACUAAGAGUCUAUAUGCAAAAAUGUUCUUGCCGCAGAAUUAAGUUUCACAUAAAAAAAAUGUAACAAAAUAAUACACAAUUUAUAUUUGGAGGAUUUCUUUCUAAUAUUACCGAAGCUUUUGAUAAACAUAACAAUAUGUGGUUAAGUAAAGACAAUUUCAAUAACGUUGGUGGUAACUCACACUAAGCCAAAAAGUUUAUUAUAACCUUAGAGCAUGUUAUUCUUCCAACUCAUUUUAGGCUCAAUUUAUUAGGAGUUUUCAAAAAAUUGCGCUAGCUCUAACUUAAAGGUAUUGAUUUAAUGACCAAUCAUUCGAAAAGAUGUGCGUUGACUCUAGUACUUUGGGCUCUAAAUAAGACUGUUGUUAGAUUCAAUAUAAUGACAUUAAAUAAGAUAUCUAUUAAACAUUAUAACAAAAAUAUAAUAUGAAUUUGAAUUAAGUACACAUUAAGGGACUAAAACCAAUAUCCAAUCUAACACCAGGUUUUUAUUAAAUUUUAAUCUUCUUUAAGGAUUAAAGUUUAUAAACCCUUAUUUUUUCAAACAAAGUAAAGCUAAAGGACUUUUAUUGUGGAGGGUAAUAGGUAAUUUUUAAAAACUAACUAUAUUAAAUCAACUUUUCCUAGAAAUUGAGUCGGCUUCCACUUUUGAAUGCAAAACGGUCACAAGCCAAUGUUGCUAUGGGGAAUUCUCUGUCGUGAUCUUUAGCCAUGGCUAGCUGUGGGUUUAACGCUAAAUCAAAUCUCUUGCAAUAUCUAUAUAUAAUAAAAGUGUGAAAAACAACAAUGUAAGUAUGCAGAUAAAAUAUGUAACCUAAAAGAUCACACACCGGCAAAAGAAGAUAUAGCUAGGGCGUCGACAUUAAUAAUUGGUCAUGUUUGAAACUCAGUCGAUUCCCUCUCUUACCAAAUCGUUUGUAACGAAAGCCGAGAGAAAUGAAUUGAGAGGCAUCGGUAACGUGCAGUGUUUUGCGUGGAGUGACAGAAUAGAGAUAACGCUCCAUUCUUUCCCCAAUUGACAAACUCGGAGCGAAGACAACUAGAGGCGUCGUGUCGGCAGGUAAAAUACUAAGUAAUUUGUCAUUCUUUUCAACCAUGCGUUUGGCUACUUCAACCCUGUUUUGACGAAAUGUUAUUACAAGAUUCAGAGCUGUGGAACCGAAUGUGUCUUGAAUUUCCAAGUCUUCCUUUGCCAUUAACUCCACCAACUGUUCUAUAUUGCGCACGCUGCAGUUGUUAAGCGGCCGGACUGCGUAGCGAAGAGCUGUACCGCCACUUGAAAUUCUUUCACUUCCUACCUGGGGAUGGUCGCGAAGAAACUGGAUCGCUUUAUCCCAAUAAUUAGACUUCACAUAUUUGACGAAAGUUGCAUGGAUAUCGUUUGCAAUGCUCUCAUGUCCUGCAUGCCGUAUUUUAUUUUAACUUUGUUAACUGCUAACUUUCCCACGCAAUAUCUUAAUUUGUGAGGGAUCAAGGUAUAUAUAUACACUACCUGCAUUGAGCCCUUCUUCCAUCGCGAGCUCUGGCCUAGCUUCACGAUCAGUUGGGGUUGGCUCUUCAUCAUGAUCAAUCGGGCUGGAUACGCUUGAAGAAGUGACCCUCUCAUCUAAAAAUGAAAGUCUUGAUAUUCAGAUGUUACCAUCAAUUCUUAAUUUGUGUUUUCUUUUCCUUUCUUACAAAUGCCUAUGUGUGUGAGAAGUUCAGCUACUAAUCAGAAUGCUUUAUUACUCCAUAAUAAAUACAAAAUAUUCCUCGUCAAACCAGAAUAGUACAACCACUGCCGUGUGUAUGGGAAUUGGGAUAAUAAUCAAGAUAUCGACAGUGAUGCUCACGGUGUUCACAUAUCCAGAAAGUUCAAUUCUACUACUGGUUCUCCUGGGAAACAUUGUUACACUAUUUAAGACAUGAUUAACAAUUUCAAGGCAGUUUAAUAUUUAAACUCUUGAGUAAUUUGUGACCUUUCAGUUAACAAUAAACUCUACAUAAAAAAUAUAAGUACAAAAGAAAAAAAAGUUGUCAAUCUCAUGAAAAAAAUCAACUAAAAACUAACUGCAAAACGAAGGCAAUCAAAUCAAUACUCCAAGCCAAGAUAAACCAAAAAGUUGGCCUAUCAUCCCUCGAGUAAACACGAAUAUCAGCCUGGGUUCUCCUUCUCAUCUCAUUUAUAACUUACCUCCUUGUCCAAGGAGGCAUCCAAGUACAAGAAGCCUAGUAGUGAUUAUGCCUCUAUCGGAGAAUUCACUUCUUCUGUUCUGAAGCUCAAGAAUUGUCUCAAUGGUUUGUGAUCUGGGAUUCCACAAAGCCCGAAAAAGUAUGAGCAAGGUGAUCCACAGCUAGCAUAUUCUUGAUCCCCAGGUACCAGCAACCAGUUGGUGCACAGUAUGUUGUCCAUGCAAGUAACACUUCCAAGAAUAUGAAAAGAAGUUAAAGACAGGAAAUGGCUGUGUAUCACAAAAUGGCAUACCUCAAAAGCAGAGACGUGAAUUACACUUUCUUCUGAAUCCUUUGAUGCAUCCUGAGCAUGAAUACUGGCUCCUGUUUCCAGUAACCGCCCUUGCCAAUAACCCCACCAAAUUUCCCAGCUGAACACAAAAUUUUCAUGAAAACUCAGCUAGAGCUAGAGCUAGAGCUUCACCCCCAUGUCCAGGAGGAAAACCAUUAAAACCACCCCGGACAAAUCCAGAACGGUUUUCAUAUCCUCCUGUCCAUGGCAUUGGCGACAUAGUGUGGGAAGGAGCCCGAUUAAACAACAUUGGAUUUCUAGGUGAAAGGAAUGGCAUAGGAAAGCCCGAAGGAGGCUUGUACUUCCUAGGAUUCUGAUGCAGUAGAUUAGACACUUCAUAAAGUGCCCUCUUUGUCAUAUUUGGCUUUGCAGGUAUCUCUCACUUUUGUUGGAAGUUAUAGGCACCAAAAAACAAAUAACAAAGUACUUUUCAUGUGAGUUUCAUAUAAGCAUGUUUGAAGAUUGAAAGUGACCAAGCUACAAAAUCAUAUGCUUUUACAAAUGUAAAAAGAAGACAUGAAAAGUCUCAAUACACCCACAAGUUUCCAGCGGCAGACUUCACUGGCACAAAGUGACUGCAUACGUGGACCACUGGACUUUCAUUCGUAUACAUAGACAUAUUUAGGGUAUAUAUUUUGAGCACCAAUAAAUUUCCCAAUAACAACAUACACAGCUGGGAAGACAUAUUAAAUUAAAAACAACAAAAAUCAUUUCUAACACAAAAAUAAGUUUGAAAAAAAAUUAACUUUAAUCAACAGAUGAGCUCAUACGAUGUCAUAAGAUUUGCUCUAUUAGCUCAAUCAAAAGUCUAAUUCCAUCUACAUCAUAUAAAAUCUUCUUUUGGAACAUUAUUUCCUAUGUUAGAGAACAUGCAAGGAGCACAAAAAUAGAAAGGGUACCAGCACCAAUUCAUCAGUUUCCAUAACACAGUUGGAAGCUGAUCUGCAGGAAGGACAACCAACCAUAUUGUUUGGAACUAGAAGUCUUGUGGUGACAACACUGUUCUCAUUGUCAUCAUCAAAUGUAACUCCACCAAAACGAUCUUCCUCGACAAUCCUGUCAUGAACUUUCAACAGAGCAUCCUGGGCAGCACAAUGCGGCUCCAUUUCAUUUCCAUCAGCUAAAUUUUCAUGGUUACUUUGUUUGCUUGAAAUUUUUGUUGGAGAGCUAUAGAUAAUAAUUACUCUCUCAUCUGAGCCAAGAACAGAAUCAGAAACCUUAAUCUUUGCCGGGGGUCUCCUCUAAGGGCUUUGCCACCCUUCCCAAUAACACCACCGAUCUUUUUAGAAGGGCAGAGAAUACGACACACAGUGUUGAGCAAUUGAUAAUCCUCUGAAGGUUGCUUACGGCUUGAAUCAUUCCACUUUCCUUUCUUAUAGUUGUUGUUACCCCCUCUUCUUUUAAACUGGAUAUUAGGGCGUUUCUUGAAAAGGUUUCGAUUGUUCCCAUCCAUCAUACCCCUCAAUACUAAUAACUAAUAACUGAAGGGGACUGAAUUUUAAGCAAACCUUAAUACAUGAAUUAAACAAAACAAUAACAAAAGUCGCCAUUACUGCAAAAGAGCCGAAUGCCAUCCCAAUUUUCUCGAGCAAUGAAACUGGGCUCAUCACUUACAAUUUCGAACUGAACACUAAAUUA